Molecule: ribosomal RNA, 664 nt
Filed under: Fructilactobacillus sanfranciscensis
Lineage: Bacteria; Bacillati; Bacillota; Bacilli; Lactobacillales; Lactobacillaceae
Description: bacterial SSU rRNA
Rfam family: Bacterial small subunit ribosomal RNA
Source: RNAcentral
AAGUCUGAUGGAGCACGCCGCGUGAGUGAAGAAGGGUUUCGGCUCGUAAAACUCUGUUGUUAGAGAAGAACAGCCGUGAGAGCAACUGCUCACGGUAUGACGGUAUCUAACCAGAAAGUCACGGCUAACUACGUGCCAGCAGCCGCGGUAAUACGUAGGUGGCAAACGUUGUCCGGAUUUAUUGGGCGUAAAGGGAGCGCAGGCGGUUUAUUAAGUCUGAUGUGAAAGCCUUCGGCUUAACCGGAGAAGUGCAUCGGAAACUGAUAAACUUGAGUGCAGAAAAGGAUAGUGGAACUUCAUGUGUAGCGGUGAAAUGCGUAGAUAUAUGAAGGAACACCAGUGGCGAAGGCGGCUAUCUGGUCUGUAACUGACGCUGAGGCUCGAAAGCAUGGGUAGCAAACAGGAUUAGAUACCCUGGUAGUCCAUGCCGUAAACGAUGAAUGCUAGGUGUUGGAAGGUUUCCGCCUUUCAGUGCCGCAGCUAACGCAUUAAGCAUUCCGCCUGGGGAGUACGACCGCAAGGUUGAAACUCAAAGGAAUUGACGGGGACCCGCACAAGCGGUGGAGCAUGUGGUUUAAUUCGAUGCUACGCGAAGAACCUUACCAGGACUUGACAUCUUCUGCCAAUCUAAGAGAUUAGACGUUCUCUUCGGGGACAGAGAGAC